Molecule: ribosomal RNA, 261 nt
Filed under: uncultured bacterium
Lineage: Bacteria
Description: partial 16S ribosomal RNA
Rfam family: Bacterial small subunit ribosomal RNA
Source: RNAcentral
GUCCACGCCGUAAACGAUGGGUGCUAGGUGUGGGGGUGUCGACUCCCCCGUGCCGAAGCUAACGCAUUAAGCACCCCGCCUGGGGAGUACGGCCGCAAGGCUAAAACUCAAAGGAAUUGACGGGGCCCGCACAAGCAGCGGAGCAUGUGGUUUAAUUCGACGCAACGCGAAGAACCUUACCAAGGCUUGACAUGCAUUUGAAAGACGUGGAAAACACGUUCCCUCUUCGGAGCAAAUGCACAGGUGGUGCAUGGCUGUCGU